RNAcentral lists this ribosomal RNA (373 nucleotides) under Symploce tubercularis. RNAcentral describes it as "partial large subunit ribosomal RNA". Lineage: Eukaryota; Metazoa; Arthropoda; Insecta; Blattodea; Blattellidae. The record is from RNAcentral.
CUCUUUUUGUUUAUAUAAAAAGUAUGACCUGCCCACUGACUAUGUUGAAGGGCCGCGGUAUUUUGACCGUGCAAAGGUAGCAUAAUCAUUAGUCUCUUGAUUAGAGGCUGGAAUGAAUGGUUGGACGAAAUAUAGGCUGUCUUGUAAUUUAUAUUAGAAUUUAAUUAUUAGGUAAUAAAGCUUAAAUGUGUUUAUGGGACGAGAAGACCCUAUAGAGUUUAAUAAUUAAUAUUUAUAUAUUUGUUUGUUUAAAAGUUUAUUUUGUUAAUUAUUUUGUUGGGGUGAUAGGAGGAUAUAAUAAACUCUUUUUAUUGUUAAAUAUUAAUAUAUAGUUUUGAUGAUCCGUUAAUAGUGAUUAAAAGACUAAAUUACC